This is a non-coding RNA of Characodon lateralis, 82 nucleotides long. The record is from the annotation of a GenBank genome assembly. NCBI's taxonomy places the organism in Eukaryota, Metazoa, Chordata, Actinopteri, Cyprinodontiformes, Goodeidae.
CACCAGGUGGCUCAGUGGUUGAGUGAGGUCACAGUCCUCCACACAGUGGUCCCAGGUUCAAUUCCCUGCCUCGGGCCAUUUA